RNAcentral lists this ribosomal RNA (531 nucleotides) under uncultured bacterium. RNAcentral's name for it is "bacterial SSU rRNA". It matches the Rfam family "Bacterial small subunit ribosomal RNA", at positions 1 to 531 of the family's 1533-position model. The record is from RNAcentral.
GCCCUUAGAGUUUGAUCCUGGCUCAGAUUGAACGCUAGCGGCAGGCCUCAUACAUGCAAGUCGAGCGAGAAAGUUCCUUCGGGAGCGAUUAGAGCGGCGGACGGGUGAGUAAUAUAUGGGAAUCUACCUUGUAGUGGGGGACAACUCUGGGAAACUAGAGCUAAUACCGCAUAAUCUCUACGGAGGAAAGUGAGGGAUCUUCGGACCUCAUGCUACUAGAUGAGCCCAUAUCAGAUUAGCUAGUUGGUGGGGUAAAGGCCUACCAAGGCAACGAUCUGUAGCUGGUCUGAGAGGAUGAUCAGCCACACUGGGACUGAGACACGGCCCAGACUCCUACGGGAGGCAGCAGUAGGGAAUAUUGGACAAUGGGCGCAAGCCUGAUCCAGCCAUGCCGCGUGUGUGAAGAAGGCCUUCGGGUCGUAAAGCACUUUCAGUAACCAUGAAAGCAGGGUAGUUAAUAGCUGCUCUGUGUGACUAAUUACAGAAGAAGCACCGGCAAACUCCGUGCCAGCAGCCGCGGUAAUAAGGGCG